This is a long non-coding RNA of Oncorhynchus tshawytscha (Chinook salmon), 909 nucleotides long. NCBI's taxonomy places the organism in Eukaryota, Metazoa, Chordata, Actinopteri, Salmoniformes, Salmonidae. The record is from Ensembl.
CACACACACACGUUAUCCAUGCCCACAACAUUCAAAAACACAGGGCAGACAUGGAGAUAAAUAAGACCAACUACAGUAGUCUCUCAACACAGCCACACCACAUCAGUCAGAUGGGCAGAGAACACAGUGUAAUAUAUAGGAGCAGAACAAUUACAUGACAGAUGACAAGAGUAGCUGAACCUGAGGCUGUCACAUGGAGGCCAUUUGUAUAGUGUUUUCUGAUCUACGCCCCCCCCCCCAACUGGUGCGGCUCAUUUACAGGUCAGUGGGUAAUGAGCUCUCCUCUAGAGAACCAGGUCUGUCUGUCCGUCUCUCCUCUAGAGAACCAGGUCUGUCUGUCUGUCUGUCUGUCUGUCUGUCUGUCCAUCUGUCCGUCUGUCCGUCUCUCCUCUAGAGAACCAGGUCUGUCUGUCUGUCUGUCCGUCUCUCCUCUAGAGAACCAGGUCUGUCUGUCUGUCUGUCCGUCUCUCCUCUAGAGAACCAGGUCUGUCUGUCUGUCUGUCCGUCUCUCCUCUAGAGAACCAGGUCUGUCUGUCUGUCUGUCCGUCUCUCCUCUAGAGAACCAGGUCUGUCUGUCUGUCUGUCUGUCUGUCCGUCUCUCCUCUAGAGAACCAGGUCUGUCUGUCUGUCUGUCUGUCCGUCUCUCCUCUAGAGAACCAGGUCUGUCUGUCCGUCUCUCCUCUAGAGAACCAGGUCUGUCUGUCCGUCUCUCCUCUAGAGAACCAGGUCUGUCUGUCUGUCCGUCUGUCCGUCUCUCCUCUAGAGAACCAGGUCUGUCUGUCUGUCUGUCCGUCUCUCCUCUAGAGAACCAGGUCCGUCUGUCUGUCCAUCUCUCCUCUAGAGAACCAGGUCUGUCUGUCCAUCUCUCCUCUAGAGAACCAGGUCUGUCUGUCCAUCUCUCCUCUAGAG